AAAUUGAAGAGUUUGAUCAUGGCUCAGAUUGAACGCUGGCGGCAGGCCUAACACAUGCAAGUCGAACGGUAACAGGAAGCAGCUUGCUGCUUUGCUGACGAGUGGCGGACGGGUGAGUAAUGUCUGGGAAACUGCCUGAUGGAGGGGGAUAACUACUGGAAACGGUAGCUAAUACCGCAUAACGUCGCAAGACCAAAGAGGGGGACCUUCGGGCCUCUUGCCAUCGGAUGUGCCCAGAUGGGAUUAGCUAGUAGGUGGGGUAACGGCUCACCUAGGCGACGAUCCCUAGCUGGUCUGAGAGGAUGACCAGCCACACUGGAACUGAGACACGGUCCAGACUCCUACGGGAGGCAGCAGUGGGGAAUAUUGCACAAUGGGCGCAAGCCUGAUGCAGCCAUGCCGCGUGUAUGAAGAAGGCCUUCGGGUUGUAAAGUACU
This 437-nucleotide ribosomal RNA is filed under the name Escherichia coli O25b:H4-ST131. RNAcentral's name for it is "bacterial SSU rRNA". It matches the Rfam family "Bacterial small subunit ribosomal RNA", at positions 1 to 434 of the family's 1533-position model. The record is from RNAcentral. Lineage: Bacteria; Pseudomonadati; Pseudomonadota; Gammaproteobacteria; Enterobacterales; Enterobacteriaceae.